This 482-nucleotide ribosomal RNA is filed under the name uncultured bacterium. RNAcentral's name for it is "bacterial SSU rRNA". It matches the Rfam family "Bacterial small subunit ribosomal RNA", at positions 30 to 507 of the family's 1533-position model. The record is from RNAcentral.
AUUGAACGCUGGCGGCAUGCCUUACACAUGCAAGUCGAACGGUAACGCGGGGCAACCUGGCGACGAGUGGCGAACGGGUGAGUAAUGUAUCGGAACGUGCCCAGUAGUGGGGGAUAGCCCGGCGAAAGCCGGAUUAAUACCGCAUACGACCUAAGGGUGAAAGCGGGGGAUCGCAAGACCUCGCGCUAUUGGAGCGGCCGAUAUCAGAUUAGCUAGUUGGUGGGGUAAAAGCCUACCAAGGCGACGAUCUGUAGCUGGUCUGAGAGGACGACCAGCCACACUGGGACUGAGACACGGCCCAGACUCCUACGGGAGGCAGCAGUGGGGAAUUUUGGACAAUGGGCGCAAGCCUGAUCCAGCCAUGCCGCGUGCGGGAAGAAGGCCUUCGGGUUGUAAACCGCUUUUGUCAGGGAAGAAAAGCCUCGAACUAAUACUUUGGGGUAAUGACGGUACCUGAAGAAUAAGCACCGGCUAACUACGUG